This 859-nucleotide ribosomal RNA is filed under the name Natalina wesseliana. RNAcentral's name for it is "partial 16S ribosomal RNA". The stretch from base 352 to 506 matches the Rfam family "Eukaryotic large subunit ribosomal RNA", at positions 2133 to 2332 of the family's 3401-position model. The record is from RNAcentral. Lineage: Eukaryota; Metazoa; Mollusca; Gastropoda; Stylommatophora; Rhytididae.
AUCUAAAUAAUAAAUAGUUAUUAGACAACAAAAAAAUGUUGCAGAUAUUUCAAAUAAAUUUUUAUUUAGGGGUGAAACGCUUUCAAUUCUUAGGAUAACUGGAUUUAAUUUAAAUGCAUUAAGUGCAGGAUUUGUUCUGACUUUCAAAGUGUUAAGAAUUUGAAAGAAGAGUUUAAGUUAAUUUUUUUUACUAUAAUAAGAAAUAACUUUCUUAAUUAUUGGAAAAUGAUAAUUUUUAUUUUAUAAUUUAAAAAACAUAAAUUAAAAUUUUAUAAAACUUAUAAUUAAUAUUUAUAAUGUUUAAAUAAGUAUUGGAAGAAAAAUCCUUUUAAGGAACUCGGCAAAAAAAUUUUCGACUGUUUAACAAAAACAUAGCUUUAUGAAAUAAGAAUAUAUAAAGUUCCUCCUGCCCAGUGAAAUUUAAACGGCCGCAGUACCUUGACUGUGCUAAGGUAGCAUAAUAAAUUGUCUUUUAAUUGAAGUCUUGAAUCAACGGAUAAACGGAAAGAAGCUGUCUUAAAAGGAUUUACAAAAAAUUAAUUAAAAGGUGAAAAUGCCUUUAUUUUUUUAUAGACAAGAAGACCCUUAGAAUUUUUUCUUUAAAAAGAAACUAUAUAUAAAUUACUAUAUUUUAUAGACGUGCUUUUUUCCUAUUUUGUUGGGGCGACAAGGUAACAGUUAUAACUUACCUUAAUUAUUAUAUACAUAUCAGAUUAUAUAAACCUAGAAUAAAUUACCUAAGGGAUAACAGCAUAAUUAUAAAAUUUGUUUGUGACCUCGAUGUUGGAUUAGGAUAUAAUAAAACUAGCCGUUUUAUUAUAAGGUUCUGUUCGAACUGUUUCUCCUACAUGAUCUGAGU